RNAcentral lists this unclassified non-coding RNA (24 nucleotides) under Arabidopsis thaliana (thale cress). RNAcentral's name for it is "partial miscellaneous RNA". Lineage: Eukaryota; Viridiplantae; Streptophyta; Magnoliopsida; Brassicales; Brassicaceae. The record is from RNAcentral.
AUUGAAUAGCUCAACAAUCAUCUU